This 684-nucleotide ribosomal RNA is filed under the name Candidatus Hamiltonella defensa (Bemisia tabaci). Its description in RNAcentral is "bacterial SSU rRNA". It matches the Rfam family "Bacterial small subunit ribosomal RNA", at positions 122 to 799 of the family's 1533-position model. Lineage: Bacteria; Pseudomonadati; Pseudomonadota; Gammaproteobacteria; Enterobacterales; Enterobacteriaceae. The record is from RNAcentral.
GAAUCUGGCCGACGGAGGGGGAUAACUGCUGGAAACGGCAGCUAAUACCGCAUGAAGUCGUGAGACCAAAGUGGGGGACCUUCGGGCCUCACGCCGUCGGAUGAGCCCAGAUGAGAUUAGCUGGUAGGUAGGGUAAAGGCUUACCUAGGCGACGAUCUCUAGCGGGUCUGAGAGGAUAGCCCGCCACACUGGAACUGAGACACGGUCCAGACUCCUACGGGAGGCAGCAGUGGGGAAUAUUGCACAAUGGGCGAAAGCCUGAUGCAGCCAUGCCACGUGUGUGAAGAAGGCCUUCGGGUUGUAAAGCACUUUCAGCGAGGAGGAAGCGAUAAAUGCCAAUACCAUUUAUUUUUGACGUUACUCGCAGAAGAAGCACCGGCUAACUCCGUGCCAGCAGCCGCGGUAAUACGGAGGGUGCGAGCGUUAAUCGGAAUAACUGGGCGUAAAGGGCAUGUAGGCGGUGAGUUAAGUCAGAUGUGAAAUCCCCGAGCUCAACUUGGGAAUGGCAUUUGAAACUGGGUCGCUAGAGUUUUCUAGAGGGGGGUAGAAUUCCAGGUGUAGCGGUGAAAUGCGUAGAUAUCUGGAGGAAUACCGGUGGCGAAGGCGGCCCCCUGGAGAAAGACUGACGCUGAGGUGCGAAAGCGUGGGGAGCAAACAGGAUUAGAUACCCCUGGUAGUCCCACG